Molecule: long non-coding RNA, 14481 nt
Filed under: Manihot esculenta (cassava)
Lineage: Eukaryota; Viridiplantae; Streptophyta; Magnoliopsida; Malpighiales; Euphorbiaceae
Description: long non-coding RNA (MESC_LNC004719)
Source: RNAcentral
GAAAAUUAAAUAUUUUAUCAUGAAUCAUGCAUCAUUGAUGCCAUGCUAUGUUAGGGUGCAUUGCAUUAGUGCACACGAAUAUGUUGCAUUGCAUUAUCCUUGUACCUAGCACUGCUCCAUGUACAUUGCUUUAUGUGCGGUACGGACAUAGUUUUGGAUUCAUUAGCCCUCGUAGGAAAGUCCUGGAACAGCCCUGAGGGGACCAGGCACAGGGUACUUCGGUACUAGUGAUUGAGAUGAAGUCCUGAGAGCUCUUUUGUGGGCCAGGCACAGUUUGAGAGAGUUUUGAUCCGUCAGGCCGAGAUGGGUGAAUUACUUAUGAUGUGAUGCAUUCCAUGAGAGCAUGUUUAUCACCAUGUUAUUUUCACUGUUCUACUCACUGGGCUUUAUAGCUCACCCCACUCCUUCCCCCCCCCAGUUUUGCAGGGCCAGAGUGAGCUGAGAAAGAUCCGAGAGAAAGAUCAGAGUCAGCAAGAGUAAAGAGUAAAGUCAGGGCUAUGAGUAUGUGUUUUUAAUAGAAGGUUAGUGGACAUGUAUCUUAAUGUAUUAUAUGAAGUUCAGUUAUGUGAGUUCUAGUUUGUGCUUGGCCCUAGAGUUUGGAUAAUCCCUUUGUACAUGGAUCCUGUUUUCUGUUUCUUGAUGAGAAAUGUGUGGAACCGAGGCUGACUUGUGAUAUGCUGACCCUAGGAGAGUGGGUUCUAUGUGUUUAAACAUAGUGCAUGCAGGUCAAGCUUGGUAGAUAAAAGAUAAAACUUGCUCAUGUAUGGGAUUAUUCCAGCUGUGCAGAGAGUUUAGCAGCUUGCUACGGGUCCCAGCGGCCUUAAGCCGAUCUGGAUCCUAGUGCCGGUGGCGGUUCGGAUCAUUACAGAGGGGUACCGGUUUCCUGGCUGUUACAGAUUGGUAUCAGAGCAUAGGGCCUCAAGAGUACGAUGUGCUGAGCAAAGACGCUCCGGGAUUAGAGGUGUCCCACAUCGGAAAGAGGUUGUUUAGAGGGCAAGCACAAUAGGAAGAUCAUGUCCACUAGGAUAGGUUGUGGAGUCCUGUCUUGUAUCAUGUUGUGGAUGGAUAUUGGUGGAUCCUCUGGCCCUCAGCAUGCAUGAGAUGACAUGUAUGAGUUGCGUAGACCCGGUUUGGCUUAGUUGCCCCUGGUACAGAGGAAGAGAGUCCAGGAGGCCGUGUUGCCCCUGGCAUAGUUGGGACAUAUCUAUGUGAUGGAUAUGUAGAGGGCUAUUGGUGACCAGUUCAUCCAUGAGAUGAGAUGCUUUGCAUGUGUAUGGGGUUCAUGUGUUACCACAUGGAUCAUAUGAUGAUAUGCCCAUAUGAUGUUAUGUUUCUGUGAUGCUGUGUUUUUGUGGUGCCAUGGUUGAUGUGGACUCAUGUGUAACCGUAUGGGCCAUGUGCUGCUAUGGUUUCUGUGUGUGUGCUCUUUUCUUAGCAGGCAGGAUGAGAGGUACUCGUUGAUCUACGGGAUUGACAGGAGUUUCUCUUGAGAGGAAAGGUACAGAUACUUUCCCCUGGUUCUGCCAAGAGCGCAGUAGUGUAGCAUCAGCAGAGAGGGUUCAUCAAGGGAUCCUAGGAGGUCUUUUGAGGUAGUCAGAGGUAGACUGGGCCCUAGAGGAUGUCAGCUGCUGUGAGAGUAGCAGAGUUAGAUGGUCAGAGAAGAGGUAGUAGUUAGAGGUUAGUGUGCUAGAGAAGAGCUUGAGAGAGUUGCUAUGAGAUGCUAUGGCCUCGGGUUUUAUAACCCCAGGUAUAGUGAGAGUUGAUCUCUCAGCUCUGAGUGCAGCCCCCGCAAGUAGAGUAAGUGAGAUAGAGCAGAGUAAGAAGAAGCAGAGUAAGUGAGCUACAGCAGAGUAAGAGGUAGAGAAGAGUAAGAGUAAGUGAAAGUUCAGGUAGAGGUUUCAGUUCGGUCUGGGAUUAGGUGGUGGUUGAGGCAGGAGGAGAGGGUUAUCCUGUUCUUCAGUAGGUUCCCGAGGGAAGAUCCGUCAGCUUCAGCUUGGAUCUUCACUCUGACUCAGCAGGAGGCUAUCACAUCGAACACGGUGACGUCAGGUACGUUCACUUGUGGGUGUUCGGAUGUGUGUGUUGUUUUUCUCUUUCCCUAUUGGUUUGUGAGCCAUCGAGGGAGGGUUUGAUAGCUUCUGGGCUUAGAGUGUCCUCUUUGGGUCAGUAGACCUUCGUGUGAUCCAUCGGUGGCAGAGUCAGUCUGCCAGUAUAGUUCAGAGCAUGGUGAGAGUAGAUGCCUUCCAGCUGACCUUAUGGUUCUAGAUGUGACUGUUUGACGUCCGUCUAGUGGUGGAUUGGCUAGCUACUUGUAGUGCUACCGAGUCUGCAGAGACAAGGUAGUUAUGUUCAGAGUGCAGGAUGGAUCAGAGGUAGUCCCUGGAAGGGACAGAGUAGGGGUGCCUAUGUAAUACCCGGCUCGAGUCCGGCCUCGGAAUUCCUGUCGUCUGGUGGAAUCUCGGGUGUCGGAACCCUCGAGAAGGGUAAGACAUAUAUUUUCAUGUGUGUUUUAAGAGUUUUGAAUGUUUUCAAGUGUGAAAGGAAAUGAGUUUUGAAAGAAAAGCAAUAAGGGAGAAAUGCAAAGGUUCGGCCGCCGAAGGUCACUUUCGGCCGCCGAACAUUGCAUGGUUUCGGAUUCACGUUCGGCUGCCGAAGGUGGUCUGGCCAGCCACCUAUUUAAGGGCCAAAGGUCGGUGGAAGGAGGAUAUUUCUCCUCCACUUACAGCCAGAGGUGAGUUCAAGCCUCUCCCAAGUUGACUUUCAUGUUUUUCACCAAAUCUUUCAAGGGUUUUAAGAGUUUUGGUGUGUUUUGAAGGUUUUGAGCAAAAAUAGCAAGUUUGGAAGUUUUGGAGCUGUAGAAGAGGUUUUCUUCAUAUCUCCACGUUAGGAUCACUCAUCCUCAAGUUCUUAAGGAGGUAAGGGUGGAUCCUGAACUUUUUUGAUGAUUUUUGAAGGUUUUAUGGAAGUUUGAUGGGUAGUAUGCAUGAUUAGGUUUAGGUGAGGUUUUUGGGAGAUUUUUCUGUUUAAGCAUAUUAAGCGUUGUUUGAUGUGUUUGUUUGAGGUUUAAGGAUAGUUUUGGACCUCUAUAUGCAUGUUUGAUGGUAUGUGCUAGUUGGGAGUAGUUGAUAUGUAUGUUGGAUAAGUUUGGGAAAAGGUGUGCAUGAAACAGAGCAGGGUUCUGCCUAGUGGGCAAAACCAGGUUCGGCCGCCGAAGGAAGGUUCGGCCGCCGAACCCCUUGUGGAGGCAGUUUCGGCUGCCAAAGCUUGCCCCUGAAACUUGGGACUUUCGUCUCUGGAGGCAAGGUUCGGCCGCCGAAAGUGCCGCCGAAGGUUGAGUUUCGUCUCUGGAUGAGACUUUCGGCUGCCGAAGGUGCCGCCGAACAUGCAUGAGUUUCGUCUCUGGAGAGGGGUUUCGGCCGCCGAACCUGCCGCCGAAAGUGCCCUGUCCAGCUUUCUUNNNNNNNNNNNNNNNNNNNNNNNNNNNNNNNNNNNNNNNNNNNNNNNNNNNNNNNNNNNNNNNNNNNNNNNNNNNNNNNNNNNNNNNNNNNNNNNNNNNNNNNNNNNNNNNNNNNNNNNNNNNNNNNNNNNNNNNNNNNNNNNNNNNNNNNNNNNNNNNNNNNNNNNNNNNNNNNNNNNNNNNNNNNNNNNNNNNNNNNNNNNNNNNNNNNNNNNNNNNNNNNNNNNNNNNNNNNNNNNNNNNNNNNNNNNNNNNNNNNNNNNNNNNNNNNNNNNNNNNNNNNNNNNNNNNNNNNNNNNNNNNNNNNNNNNNNNNNNNNNNNNNNNNNNNNNNNNNNNNNNNNNNNNNNNNNNNNNNNNNNNNNNNNNNNNNNNNNNNNNNNNNNNNNNNNNNNNNNNACCUGGCUGGGCCAGGCAGGCAGAGUGGUAAGACCUGGCCGGGCCAGGCAGAUUGAGGUUGUAAGACCUGGCUAGGCCAGGCAUCCUUUCAGUGGGAUUGUUGGUGGUCAUGUCUAUCCCUGAGAUGAUGUGCUGUUAUGCAUUCCAUGAGAUCAUGUUUUCAACUUAUGGUUUAUAUAGUUCUGUUCAUUGGGCUUGUAUAGCUCAUCCCUCUCCCCUAUCCCCCAGGUUUGCAGGUUCAGAGUCCAGAGAGAGUCCAGCAGGGUUUGCAAGAAGAAGAGUUAUGUAAUAGCUAGUGUGGACAUGUACAUGUAAAGAGAUAAUGUAUAAUGUGUAGCUUUGUGCUUGACUUAUCAGAGUUGUAAUCCCUUGUUGUAAACACAUGAUCAGUUUAUGUAUGUAUGUUUCUUUUAUUGUUAUGAAUAUGAGAAAACCAGGCUUAACAUGAUGAGUUGAUAGAUCAGAAAGAGUGCAUGCACAGGUUAAGCCCUGGAGAAAAGAAAAGCUUUUAAUGAUUUGACAGAAAAUGUAUGAUCAUGUAUGGGAUUUCUCAGGUACACAGACAGUAUAGUAGGCUUACUACGGGUCCCGGCGACCUUAAGUCGAUUUGGAUCCUAGUGCCGGUAGCAGUUCGGUUUCCGGGCUGUUACAAAUUGGUAUCAGAGCCCUAGGUUCACAUGGUCGGACCUAUAGCUAGAGUUGGGCUUAUAGAGGUUUAGUGGGUCAAGCACAAUAGGAAAACAUGUCCACUAGGCUAGGAUGUUAGUCCUGUCUAUCUGCUGAUGAUGUGCAAUGCCAUGAUGCAUGUGUUGUUUUCCUCUAUGUGUUGCUUAUGUGCUCUGUUAUGUGUUGUUUUCCAGAGAGAGUUAAGAUGCGAGGAACUCGUCGAUCCGCGAGAUUGACUGGAGUCCCACCUGAAAGUGAGGGUACAGCUGCUCGUCCUCCUGCAUUGCCAAGGGCAAGGACUCACAGGUCAAGCAGGGAGGGAACGUCAAGAGACCCUCAAAGGUCUUCUGACGAGAGCAGAAGAGGAAUAGGCAGAGGGGGAAGAUCAGAAGAAGAGAGAGUUGCUAUGGAGGAGACUCAGAGUAGAGAUGGAAGUAUGGGUAUAGGAAGGUCAGAAGAAGGUAUGGGGGAGUCCCAGGGAGGCAUACAGGCCUCGGGGUUUGGCUAUCCACCCUUUCCACAGGGCCCAGGGGAUCCGAUGGGAGGUACGUCGGAUUACUCCAGCUUUGCCCCAUAUCCACCCUACAUGCCAUAUAUGCCCUAUCCUUCCUUUUAUCCACCGUAUCACAUGUAUCCACCCCCACCUUUUUAUCCAAGUUCAGCAUCGCCUGAAGCCAGAGAAACAGUACCUCCACCACCACCACCUGAACCAGUAGCCCCUGUUGUUGAAGCACAACCCAGUUCUUCAGGGGGAAAUAAGGUGAAGAUGAUGGAGUACUUAAAGUUGGAUGCUCCUAAAUUCAAUACGGGAGAUGAUCCCUUUGAUUAUCUCAGUGCAGUCAGAAUGAUAACAAGUGAGUUGGGAGCAGAUGAGAGCAGGGCCAUUGAGAUGGCAGAGUUCACGUUAAAAUGUAAGAAAGCCAGAGAAUGGUUCAAGAACUAUGUGGACCCCAGAAUAGACAGUAUUUCAUGGGAAGAGUUCGCCAACGAAUUUGCUGGGUGGGCUUUCCCUGACAGUUCUAGGGAGCUAAAGGUUGUGGAGUUUGAGCAGUUGAGACAGACGGAGGAGAUGAGCGUUGAUGAGUAUACAGAUAAGUUCUUGGAAUUGUUACCAUACGUGGGUCAGGCGUAUGAUACAGAUCAGAAGAAGGCAAAGAGAUAUGCCACGAGGCUUCAUCCCAGGUAUUUCUCCUUGAUUCUCCACGCGGAGAAGGAGAGUUUCCACUCCAUUGUGGAUGCUGCUAGAAAGAUGGAGGACAGUGCCAUAAGUCAGGGUGUAGUCAAGCAAUUAAAGGCACAGUCUUCUGGUGCUAAACCAGGUUCCUCCUCACAGAGUAUGGCAAGUGCGAGCAAAAAGAGAUGGGAGAAAUUCAGAGGAAAGAGAGGCAAGUUCUGGAACAGGAUUAAGACGGGUCUGGGAAUGAGUAGCGGCUCCAGCUUUGGCACAGAUCUUCCAGUUUGCAAUAGGUGUGGGAGACCGCACAGAGGAGCUUGUUUGUUGGGAUCUACAGCCUGCUAUAGAUGUGGGCAGGAGGGACAUUAUGCACGGGAAUGUCCUCAGGCGACUUUGGUUGCACCAUCCCAGCAGAUGACCUCAGGUAGUGUCGUACAGUCAGCAGCUUCAGCCCGUCCACCAAGCAGUGGCAGAGGUCGAGGAAGAGGGGCAGCCUCUUCAUCAGGGAUGGGUUCCCGAGGUGCAGGUCCGUCAGCUCCAGCACGGAUUUUCACCAUGACGCAACAGGAGGCAGACACGUUGAACACAGUGGUGUCAGGUACUAUCAUCAUUGGGUGUUCAGAGGUGUAUGCUUUGAUGGACCCCGGUGCUUCUCACUCUUUCAUUUCUUCUAGAGCCGCAGAGAGAUUGGGGUUGAUUGUAUCCGAGUUAGAGUGUCCUCUCUGGGUCAGUGGACCUAGAUGUGACCCAUCAUUGGCAGAGUCAGUCUGUCAGUUCAGUCCAGUGUUUAUAGAGGAUAGAUGCCUUCCAGCUGACCUUGUGGUUCUAGAGUUGACAGAUUUUGAUGUCAUUCUAGGGAUGGAUUGGUUAUCUACCUAUAGUGCUACCUUGCACUGCAGGGACAAGGUAGUGAGUCUCAGAGACCAGGAUGGGUCAGAGUGUGUCUUCAGAGGAGACAGGAGAGCGACACCUAGGGGUUUGAUAUCAGCCCUCCAGGCUCGUAGGAUGUUGAGGAAGGGGUGUCAGGGGUUCCUAGCUUAUGUGAGAGAGCUAGACAGUCGGGUUAGGCAACCAUCCUCAUUACCAGUUGUUAGAGAAUUCCCAGAUGUGUUUCCUGAAGAGCUUCCAGGACUACCACCUGAUAGGGAAAUAGAGUUCGAGAUAGAGUUGAUGCCCGGUACCAAACUGAUCUCUAUUCCUCCCUACAGGAUGGCACCGGCAGAGCUGAAAGAGUUGAAAGAGCAGUUACAGGAUUUGGUAGCUAAGGGUUUCAUCCGCCCGAGUACCUCACCCUGGGGUGCUCCAGUAUUAUUUGUCAGAAAGAAGGAUGGACCUCUUAGACUUUGUGUCGACUACAGGCAGUUGAACAAAGCCACUAUCAAGAACAAGUAUCCUUUACCCAGGAUCGAUGAUAUAUUCGACCAGCUAGCAGGAGCAGGUUGUUUCUCGAAGAUAGAUCUGAGAUCCGGAUACCACCAGUUGAAGAUCAGGGAAGGAGAUGUAUCCAAGACUACUUUCAGAACCAAAUAUGGGCAUUAUGAGUUCCUAGUGAUGCCGUUCGGGUUGACUAAUGCCCCUGCAGCAUUCAUGGAUCUCAUGAACAGGGUUUUCAGGGAGUACUUGGAUCAUUUUGUGAUUGUCUUUAUCGAUGAUAUCUUAGUGUACUCCAGGAAUGCAGAGGAGCAUGCCCAGCAUCUGAGGAUAGUUUUGCAAACCUUGAGAGAGCAUGGCUUGUAUGCCAAGUUCUCCAAGUGCGAGUUCUGGCUAAGGAGCAUUGCCUUUUUGGGACAUGUAGUAUCAGAGGAAGGAAUAACAGUAGAUCCCAAGAAGGUAGAGGCAGUAGCCAAUUGGCCAACACCCACGACAGUGACAGAGAUCAAGAGUUUUCUGGGUUUGGCAGGCUACUAUCGGAGGUUCGUUCAGGACUUUUCGAAGAUAGCUGCUCCUAUGACCAGACUGACUAGGAAGAAUCAGAAGUUCAUAUGGGUAGAGGAUUGUGAUGAGAGUUUUGAAGAGUUGAAGAGACGGUUAACUUCAGCACUGGUGUUAGCUCUGCCGAACAGUGAUGAGAAUUUCACAGUGUUCUGUGAUGCAUCCCGAGUGGGAUUAGGUUGUGUGUUAAUGCAGAAGGACAGAGUGAUAGCUUAUGCUUCUAGGCAGCUGAAGAGGCACGAGCUGAACUACCCGACACACGAUCUUGAGAUGACAGCUGUUAUCUUUGCACUUAAGAUGUGGAGGCAUUACCUCUAUAGGGUAAAGUGUGAGAUCUAUACGGAUUAUAAGAGCCUGCAGCACAUCUUAAGUCAGAGAGAGUUAAACUUGAGGCAGAGACGGUGGGUGGAAUUGCUCAGUGAUUACGAUUGUAAGAUCCAAUAUCAUCCGGGUAAGGCUAAUGUUGUAGCUGAUGCCUUAAGCCGGAAGUCACUUGGCAGUUUAUCCCACAUAGCAGUAGAGAGAAGACCGGUGGUGAAGGACUUUUGCAGACUCAUGGAUGAAGGGCUACAGUUGCAGUUAUCUGGUACAGGUGCUUUGAUUGCACAGAUGAGAGUUACACCAGUGUUUCUAGAGCAAGUGGCUCUGAAACAGCACGAAGAUCCUGAGUUAGUGAAGAUUGCCAGGACUGUUCAGUCUGGCAACAGUGCAGAGUUCAGAUUUGACAGUGAGGGAAUUCUUCAGCACGGUAAGAGAUUAUGUGUACCAGAUGAUAGCAGUUUGAAGGAAGACAUUAUGAAGGAAGCUCAUAAUGUGAGGUAUAGCGUUCACCCUGGAGCCACCAAGAUGUAUCAAGACCUGAGAAGGGUGUAUUGAUGGCCAGCGAUGAAGAGGGAAGUGGCACAGUUUGUGUCAGCCUGCGAGACAUGUCAAAGGGUGAAGCUAGAACACCAGAAGCCGGCUGGAAUGCUUAACCCACUGCCGAUUCCAGAGUGGAAAUGGGAGAACAUCGCUAUGGAUUUUGUAGUGGGGUUACCGGCGACGUCCAACAGGCUAGACUCCAUAUGGGUGAUUGUGGACAGACUGACGAAAUCUGCUCACUUCAUUCCAGUCAGGAGCAACUAUUCUGUGGACAAGUUAGCGCAGGUCUAUUUAGAAGAGAUAGUCAAGUUGCAUGGAGUUCCAGCGUCGAUAGUAUCAGAUAGAGGACCGCAGUUCACCUCCAGGUUUUGGCGGAGUUUGCAAGCUGCUAUGGGUACAAGAUUAGAUUUCAGCACUGCUUUCCAUCCACAGACAGACGGUCAGUCAGAAAGGACCAUCCAGACCAUAGAAGAUAUGCUGAGAAUGUGUGUGUUAGACUUUGGCGGUUCUUGGAGGCAGCAUCUACCUCUGGUGGAGUUUGCCUACAACAACAGCCAUCAUGCUAGCAUAGGGAUGGCUCCUUAUGAAGCUCUGUAUGGGAGGAAGUGCAGAACACCUGUUUGCUGGGAAGAGGUAGGAGAGAAGGCUCUUGCAGGGCCAGAGUUAGUUGAGAUUACCAGCAAGUUAGUGCCUAUUAUCAGAGAGAGGGUCAGAACAGCUGUAAGCAGACAGAAAAUCUAUGCAGACAUCCGUAGAAAGCAAAUAGAGUUCCAGGAGGGGGAUAUGGUAUUGCUGAAAGUGUCUCCAAUGAAAGGAGUGGUUCGCUUUGGAAAGAAAGGUAAAUUGGCUCCCCGGUACAUAGGUCCCUUUGAGAUCUUGCAGAAGAUCGGGUCUGUGUCGUAUAAGCUGGAUUUACCUGCAUCGAUGGAAUGAGUUCACCCGGUAUUUCAUGUUUCUAUGUUGAGAAAGUUUGUGUCAGAUCCAGAGAAGGUUCUUAGUGAGCCUGAGGUGGAAAUCUUAAGCGAUCUCACCUAUGUCGAGCAGCCAGUGCGGAUCAUUGACACCCAGAUUCGAAAGCUGAGAAACAAGGAGAUACCAAUGGUGAAAGUCCUGUGGAACCACCAUAAUCUAGAAGAGUGCACUUAGGAGACACGGGAGUCGAUGCUCCAGCAAUAUCCAUAUCUGUUUUAAGGUUAGGUUUUCCCCAUUUCUAUGUUUUUAUGUGUUUCGUUGUUUGAGGACAUUCGGGGAUGAAUGUUCUUAAGGGGGGGAGAAUGUAAUACCCGGCUCGUGUCCGGCCUCGGAAUUCCUGUCGUCUGGUGGAAUCUCGAGUGUCGGAACCCUCGAGAAGGGUAAGACAUAUGUUUUCAUGUGUGUUUUAAGAGUUUUGAAUGUUUUCAAGUGUGAAAGGAAAUGAGUUUUGAAAGAAAAGUAAUAAGGGAGAAAUGCAAAGGUUCGGCCGCCAAAGGUCACUUUCGGCCGCCGAACAUUGCAUGGUUUUGGAUUCACGUUCGGCUGCCGAAGGUGGUCUGGCCAGCCAUCUAUUUAAGGGUCAAAGGUCGGUGGAAGGAGGAUAUUUCUCCUCCACUUGCAGCCAGAGGUGAGUUCAAGCCUCUCCCAAGUUGACUUUCAUGUUUUUCAUGUUUUUCACCAAAUCUUUCAAGGGUUUUAAGAGUUUUGGUGUGUUUUGAAGGUUUUCUUCAUAUCUCCACGUUAGGAUCACUCAUCCUCAAGUUCUUAAGGAGGUAAGGGUGGAUCCUGAACUUUUUUAUGAUUUUUGAAGGUUUUAUGGAAGUUUGAUGGGUAGUAUGCAUGAUUAGGUUUAGGUGAGGUUUUUGGGAGAUUUUUCUAUUUAAGCAUGUUAAGUGUUGUUUGAUGUGUUUGUUUGAGGUUUUAGGAUAGUUUUGGACCUCUAUAUGCAUGUUUGAUGGUAUGUGCUAGUUGGGAGUAGUUGAUAUGCAUGUUGGGUAAGUUUGGGGAAAGGUGUGCAUGAAACAGAGCAGGGUUCUGCCCAGUGGGCAAAACCAGGUUCGGCCGCCGAAGGAAGGUUCGGCCGCCGAACCCCUUGUGGAGGCAGUUUCGGCUGCCAAAGCUUGCCCCCGAAACUUGGGACUUUCGUCUCUGGAGGUAAGGUUCGGCCGCCGAAAGUGCCGCCGAAGGUUGAGUUUCGUCUCUGGACGAGACUUUCGGCUGCCGAAGGUGCGGCCGAACAUGCAUGAGUUUUGUCUCUGGAGAGGGGUUUCGGCCGCCGAACUUGCCGCCGAAAGUGCCCUGUCCAGCUUUCUUUUGCAUGUUUUAUGUGAUUGUUUGGGGAUCUUGUAGAGGGUUUUUGGGGAGUUUCUGAGCGGCAUUCUUGAGUUAGUUUGGUCCCUCAUUUGAGUCCACCUGUGUAGGUACGGACCAGAGGAACCCCAGAGAGCAGCAGUGAGCACUGUGUCAGAACCUGCCGAGUCAGCCAGAGGUGAGUGGAACUUCUCUUUUCAGAACUAAACUAUUUUGAGCAUAUGUCAUGCAUCAUAAGAGUAUAGUAGGGUGUUUGCAUUAGUUGCACGAAGUUGAUGCAUUGCAUAUACGAUGUGUAUGAGGCUGGGAAUAGACCAAGGCGACUCCAAUAGCCCAAACUCUGUUAUAAGACCUGGCCGGGCCAGGCAGCCAUCUGUAGGUAAGACCUGACUAGAUCAGGCAGCAGAGAUAGUAAGACCUGGCUGGGCCAGGCAGGCAGAGUGGUAAGACCUGGCCGGGCCAGGCAGAUUGAGGUUGUAAGACCUGGCUAGGCCAGGCAUCCUUUCAGUGGGAUUGUUGGUGGUCAUGUCUAUCCCUGAGAUGAUGUGCUGUUAUGCAUUCCAUGAGAUCAUGUUUUCAACUUAUGGUUUAUAUAGUUCUGCUCAUUGGGCUUGUAUAGCUCAUCCCUCUCCCCUAUCCCCCAAGUUUGCAGGUUCAGAGUCCAGAGAGAGUCCAGCAGGGUUUGCAAGAAGAAGAGUUAUGUAAUAGCUAGUGUGGACAUGUACAUGUAAAGAGAUAAUGUAUAGUGUGUAGCUUUGUGCUUGACUUAUCAGAGUUGUAAUCCCUUGUUGUAAACACAUGAUCAGUUUAUGUAUGUAUGUUUCUUUUAUUGUUAUGAAUAUGAGAAAACCAGGCUUAACAUGAUGAGUUGAUAGAUCAGAAAGAGUGCAUGCACAGGUUAAGCCCUGGAGAAAAGAAAAGCUUUUAAUGAUUUGACAGAAAAUGUAUGAUCAUGUAUGGGAUUUCCCAGGUACACAGACAGUAUAGCAGGCUUACUACGGGUCCCGGCGACCUUAAGUCGAUCUGGAUCCUAGUGCCGGUAGCAGUUCGAUUUCCGGGCUGUUACAGCCUAGAGGUUUGAUGUCAGCCCUACAGGCUCCUAGUUUGCUCAGGAAAGGUUGUCAGAGGGUUGCUAGCUCUUGUUGGCGAGUUCUGCAGUCAGGUCAGGGAAUCAGCCUCAGUGUCCUUAGCUCGCGAGUUAUUAGAUGUUACCCAGACGAGCUGUCAGGUUUACCAUCUGUCAGGGAGAUAGAGUUUGGAGUAGGAGUGGUGUCUAGAUCAAGAACCAUUUCUUUCCUUCCCUACAGGAUGGCACCUGCCGAGUAGAGAGAGGUAAUAGUCAGAGUAGUAGAAGCCGGAAGAGUAGUUGCUAGAGUUGGUAGACAAGGGGUUUUAUCCGACCUAGUACCUCACCCUGGCGUGUUCCAGUGUAGUUGUGAGAAACGAAGGAUGGAUCCUUGAGACUUUGUAACGACUGUAAGUGGUUGAACAAGGUCACUACCAGGGACAGGUAUUCCCAUGCAGGAUUGAUGAUCUAUUGGAACAACUUAUAGGCGCAGGUUAUGUUCCUAGAUAGAUCAGAGAUUCGGGUACUACCUGUUGAGAGUUAGAGAAGAAGCCAGUUUAGAUAGAUGAAGAGAGAAGGGCAAGAGUCAGAGUGCGUAGCGGAAGCUGUUGCAGUUCUGGAGACGUUGAGGUAUUGCUAGAGGUGUCUCCUAGUAAGGGUGAUUCGUUUUGAGCAGGAGCGGUAAGCUAGCUCGAACAUACAUCGGACCCUUUGAAAUCCUGUAGAGGAUUGGGGAUGUAUCCUACCAGUUAGGUUUACCUGCUUCGUAGAGGAGAUCUCUUCGGUUUUCCUUGUUUCCUUGAUUCUGGAGUUGUGUCGGAUCCGAGUGAGGUUCUGAGGUGGAGAUCUCAGGGGAUCUCACCUGUUUAGAGCUGCGAGAGUGGAUCAUAGACACACAGGUCAGAGUGUAAAGGAACAGGAAGUUCCGAUGGUGUUAGUCCUUGGAAUCACCUCAGUAGUGUUUAGUGUGCUUGGGAGACCGUGAGUUUUUACUCCAGUAGUACCAUGUCUCUUUUAUGUGUUAUGUGUUUAUGUUAUAGCUAUAGUAUGCAUGUCUUAGAGGAAGAACAUUCGAGGACGAAUGUUUUUUUAAGGAGGGUAGAUUGUAAUACCCGGCUAGCUUCAGGCAUCGGAAUUCCUACCGUCCGGUGGAAUUCGAGGAUGUCGGAGGUUUCUAGAAGGGUAAAGGAAAGGUUUUCUUACAUGGUUUUAAGUGUUUUUAUGGUUUUGAAUAAAAAGGAAUUGAGUUUUGAAGAGAAAAGACCAAGGAGGCUUUGGCCAGGUUCAGCCGCCGAAAGUGAUGUUCGGCUGCCGAAAGUGCCUUAGGUUUUGCCUCCGAAACGCCAAGUUCGACAGCCGAACGUUGCAUGGUUUUGCAUGCAGCUUAGGCCGCCGAAGGAGAGGCAGUUGGCCACCUAUAAAAGGCCCCUUAGCCGGAUUUGAGGUGAGUUUUCUCUCUCUUUUUGGGUAUAGGUGAGUUCUUGAUCUCCUUGGGUUGAUUUGUUGUUGUCUCUUCAAAUCUUUCAAAGUUAAGCAAGUUUUAAGUAGGUUUUAUGUGAUUUUGAAGAGUUUUGGAGCUUGGAGACUUUUGGAGCUGGAUUCUCCAUAUCUUCAAGUUUGGAUCGCCAAUCCUCUCGUUCUUCAAGAGGUAAGUGCAGAUCCUUAGUUUUUAUGAUGUUUUAAGUGAGUUUUAUGAUGGGAAAGGGUUAAGUUUGCAUGAGGUUGCAUGGUUGUGCAUAAUAGGGUUUAUGUACCCUUUUGGGCAUAUAGAUGUGUUUGUGGUUGCUUUUGGGGUUUUGAGCUUGUUUUAAGCCCCUAUGUGCUAGUAGCAGUGUUUAUGCAUGUUUGUAAGAGGUUGGAUGCAUGUUUUGGGUGUUUGGAAGGUUUGGGAGGCUUGGUUGUGCAUGAGGCUGAGUUCUGGAUGAACUCAGGUUCGGCCCCCGAAAGUAGUUUCGGCCGCCGAACCCUUGUAGAGAUGGUUUUGGCAGCCUAAACUUGCCCCCGAACGUUUGGACUUUCGGCUCUGGAAAGGACUUUCGGCUGCCGAAUGUGCCGUCGAAAGUGCCUGGCUUUCGUCUCUGAAGGAGACUUUCGGCCGCCAAAGGUGCCGCCGAACAUGCAUGAGUUUCGUCUCUGGAGAGGGGGUUCGGCCGCCGAAUGUGCCGCCGAAGGUGCCCUGUCCAGCCUUUCUUUGCAUGUUUUUCCAUGCAUGUUUGUGAUGUUUUAGGGGAGGUUUGGGGAGAUGUUUAGAGGUAUGUUAGAGUUGUUUGGUACCUCAUUUGAGUCCACCUGUGUAGGUUUGGACCCGAGGAACCGAGGAGGCCCCAGAGUUAGAGUUGGCCCAGAGUAAGCCAGCAGUGGCAGGUGAGUGGAACUAAACUUAAUGGUUUUAAUAUGGAAAAGUAAAUAUUUUAUCAUGAAUCAUGCAUCAUUGAUGCCAUGCUAUGUUAGGGUGCAUUGCAUUAGUGCACACGAAUAUGUUGCAUUGCAUUAUCCUUGUACCUGGCACUGCUCCAUGUACAUUGCUUUAUGUGCGGUACGGACAUAGUUUUGGAUUCAUUAGCCCUCGUAGGAAAGUCCUGGAACAGCCCUGAGGGGACCAGGCACAGGGUACUUCGGUACUAGUGACUGAGAUGAAGUCCUG